This 469-nucleotide ribosomal RNA is filed under the name Photorhabdus luminescens. Its description in RNAcentral is "bacterial SSU rRNA". It matches the Rfam family "Bacterial small subunit ribosomal RNA", at positions 45 to 501 of the family's 1533-position model. The record is from RNAcentral. Lineage: Bacteria; Pseudomonadati; Pseudomonadota; Gammaproteobacteria; Enterobacterales; Morganellaceae.
GGCCUAACACAUGCAAGUCGAGCGGUAACAGGAAAGUGCUUGCACUUUUGCUGACGAGCGGCGGACGGGUGAGUAAUGUCUGGGGAUCUGCCCGAGGGCGGGGGAUAACCACUGGAAACGGUGGCUAAUACCGCAUAAUGUCGCGAGACCAAAGUGGGGGACCUGAAAGGGCCUCACGCCCGUGGAUGAACCCAGAUGGGAUUAGCUAGUAGGUAGGGUAAUGGCCUACCUAGGCGACGAUCCCUAGCUGGUCUGAGAGGAUGACCAGCCACACUGGGACUGAGACACGGCCCAGACUCCUACGGGAGGCAGCAGUGGGGAAUAUUGCACAAUGGGCGCAAGCCUGAUGCAGCCAUCCCGCGUGUAUGAAGAAGGCCUUCGGGUUGUAAAGUACUUUCAGCGGGGAGGAAGGGUAUGGCCUGAAANGGGCGAUAGCUUGACGUUACCCGCAGAAGAAGCACCGGCUAAC